This 433-nucleotide ribosomal RNA is filed under the name uncultured bacterium. RNAcentral describes it as "partial 16S ribosomal RNA". It matches the Rfam family "Bacterial small subunit ribosomal RNA", at positions 29 to 507 of the family's 1533-position model. The record is from RNAcentral.
AACGAACGCUGGCGGCAGGCUUAAUACAUGCAAGUCGAGCGGGCACUUCGGUGUCAGCGGCGCACGGGUGCGUAACGCGUGGGAACAUGCCUUUAGGUACGGAACAACCAAGGGAAACUUUGGCUAAUACCGUAUAAUAUCUCUGGAUCAAAGAUUUAUCGCCUAAAGAUUGGCCCGCGUUAGAUUAGGUAGUUGGUGGGGUAAUGGCCUACCAAGCCGACGAUCUAUAGGGGGUCUGAGAGGAUGAUCCCCCACACUGGAACUGAGACACGGUCCAGACUCCUACGGGAGGCAGCAGUAAGGAAUAUUGGACAAUGGGCGAAAGCCUGAUCCAGCCAUGCCGCGUGAGUGAUGAAGGCCUUAGGGAUGUAAAGCUCUUUUAGAUGGGAAGAUAAUGACUGUACCAUCAGAAUAAGCCCCGGCUAAAUUCGUG